GGGGAAUUUUCCGCAAUGGGCGAAAGCCUGACGGAGCAAUACCGCGUGAGGGAGGAAGGCUCUUGGGUUGUAAACCUCUUUUCUCAGGGAAUAAGUACUGAAGGUACCUGAGGAAUCAGCAUCGGCUAACUCCGUGCCAGCAGCCGCGGUAAUACGGAGGAUGCGAGCGUUAUCCGGAAUGAUUGGGCGUAAAGCGUCUGUAGGUGGCUUUUUAAGUCUGCCGUUAAAUCCCAGGGCUUAACCCUGGAUAAGCGGUGGAAACUACCAAGCUGGAGUACGGUAGGGGCAGAGGGAAUUUCCGGUGGAGCGGUGAAAUGCGUAGAGAUCGGAAAGAACACCAACGGCGAAGGCACUCUGCUGGGCCAAUACUGACACUAAGAGACGAAAGCUAGGGGAGCAAAUGGGAUUAGAUACCCCAGUAGUC
This 424-nucleotide ribosomal RNA is filed under the name uncultured cyanobacterium. RNAcentral's name for it is "bacterial SSU rRNA". It matches the Rfam family "Bacterial small subunit ribosomal RNA", at positions 356 to 795 of the family's 1533-position model. The record is from RNAcentral. Lineage: Bacteria; Bacillati; Cyanobacteriota.